Molecule: ribosomal RNA, 450 nt
Filed under: uncultured bacterium
Lineage: Bacteria
Description: partial 16S ribosomal RNA
Rfam family: Bacterial small subunit ribosomal RNA
Source: RNAcentral
GUGGGGAAUUUUGGACAAUGGGCGCAAGCCUGAUCCAGCAAUGCCGCGUGCAGGAAGAAGGCCUUCGGGUUGUAAACUGCUUUUGUACGGAACGAAACGGUCCUGGCUAAUAUCCGGGGCUAAUGACGGUACCGUAAGAAUAAGCACCGGCUAACUACGUGCCAGCAGCCGCGGUAAUACGUAGGGUGCGAGCGUUAAUCGGAAUUACUGGGCGUAAAGCGUGCGCAGGCGGUGCUGUAAGACAGGCGUGAAAUCCCCGGGCUCAACCUGGGAAUUGCGCUUGUGACUGCAGUGCUGGAGUACGGCAGAGGGGGAUGGAAUUCCGCGUGUAGCAGUGAAAUGCGUAGAUAUGCGGAGGAACACCGAUGGCGAAGGCAGUCCCCUGGGCCUGUACUGACGCUCAUGCACGAAAGCGUGGGGAGCAAACAGGAUUAGAUACCCCGGUAGUCC